GUAUUCAGGCCUUGAAUAGUGUCCGCAGGCCUAGAAGAUUGUAACUUGUUUUCAACGUUGUACUAAAUGUAUUUAUUUGUGCAGUGGCGUAUCAUGUCUGCGUGACGUAAGAGAGAGGUCCAAUUGGUCCCCCACAUGUUCAACUAGUGUCAGGAAAUACCAAUUCAAAUUAAUAUCAUUUAGAAUUUAGAUUUUUUUUUUAGUGCUUAAAUGGUAUUUACAAAAUAAUUUUAAUCUCCCCCCCCCCCCCCCC
Biomphalaria pfeifferi is the source of this 253-nucleotide non-coding RNA. The record is from the annotation of a GenBank genome assembly. NCBI's taxonomy places the organism in Eukaryota, Metazoa, Mollusca, Gastropoda, Planorbidae.